UGCAUCAUCUCCAAUAUAAAAAUAUCGAUAACGAUCAUCCAAAUACUCUAUUCUCAAUCAUGAAUGAUCAAAAAACUAGACCUCAGGCUCAAAUCUUAGCAAUCGUUAGAAUAAAGUCUGCCACUCUGGAAUGGUAAGCUUGGGAUCAACUCCAGUAACUGAAUCGCUAUCAACUGAUAGUCCAGUAAGGAUGCUAAUAUCCUGUAAUGUGAUGAUCGCCUCACCG
This 226-nucleotide long non-coding RNA is filed under the name Elaeis guineensis (African oil palm). RNAcentral's name for it is "long non-coding RNA (EGUI_LNC011930)". Lineage: Eukaryota; Viridiplantae; Streptophyta; Magnoliopsida; Arecales; Arecaceae. The record is from RNAcentral.